Molecule: long non-coding RNA, 370 nt
Organism: Pezoporus flaviventris
Lineage: Eukaryota; Metazoa; Chordata; Aves; Psittaciformes; Psittacidae
Exons: 4
Source: RefSeq, a predicted model, not a curated record
UUCAUCUGCUGAGCUAAUCUAGCCCUGCCAGAGAAGCAUUUGUGCUAUUGCUUACAAGUUAGCCACAAUACCCAUGGUGUUUUGUUUCCAUCAAGUUCAUUUCACUGUGCAUCAUGCUUUCCUGAUGUAGUGAUAUGAACUGAAGUUGCCUGAAUGAAAACUCAUCAUGCUUUGGAAGUCACUUUUUGAGUAUAACCUCCUGUGAAAUCCUGUGAGAAUGUUUGAAAAUAUUUACAUCAGCAAGAAAAAAUGUUCAUCAAAUGAGGCCUUAUUCUGGGACAACAGGGAAAAUGGAGUAAUUUUUAUUCAUUUUACCACUACAGCUUGGUGUUGGGCUUAUGGAUUAGACCACUGGGGACUACAAGGUGUG